CCUACGGGAGGCAGCAGUGGGGAAUAUUGCACAAUGGGCGAAAGCCUGAUGCAGCAACGCCGCGUGAGUGAUGAAGGCCUUCGGGUUGUAAAGCUCUGUCUUUUGGGACGAUAAUGACGGUACCAAAGGAGGAAGCCACGGCUAACUACGUGCCAGCAGCCGCGGUAAUACGUAGGUGGCAAGCGUUGUCCGGAUUUACUGGGCGUAAAGGAUGCGUAGGCGGAUUUUUAAGUCAGAUGUGAAAACCCCGGGCUCAACUUGGGGACUGCAUUUGAAACUGGAAAUCUAGAGUGCGGGAGAGGAAAGUGGAAUUCCUAGUGUAGCGGUGAAAUGCGUAGAGAUUAGGAAGAACACCAGUGGCGAAGGCGACUUUCUGGACCGUAACUGACGCUGAGGCAUGAAAGCGUGGGUAGCAAACAGGAUUAGAUACCCUGGUAGUCCACGCCGUAAACGAUGAGUACUAGGUGUAGGAGGUAUCGACCCCUUCUGUGCCGCAGUUAACACAAUAAGUACUCCGCCUGGGAAGUACGAUCGCAAGAUUAAAACUCAAAGGAAUUGACGGGGGCCCGCACAAGCAGCGGAGCAUGUGGUUUAAUUCGAAGCAACGCGAAGAACCUUAC
RNAcentral lists this ribosomal RNA (620 nucleotides) under bacterium HN1-10-42. RNAcentral describes it as "bacterial SSU rRNA". It matches the Rfam family "Bacterial small subunit ribosomal RNA", at positions 338 to 974 of the family's 1533-position model. The record is from RNAcentral.